AGAUUUUUAAAAUUCUUAUUUUAAAAAGCCGAAGGCUUACCGCCUUUUAAGGGUGAGAGAUUUGAAGAAACGAAAGUGCAGACAGCGCUCCAAAUAGUAUUAACCCUGAGAGGUCCCUGGGGAAUUGGGCGGGGGGCGACGAUAACGGUUUUCGGGACUUUGACGCUCUCGUGAUGCUCCGAUCACGACGCGACUUACCUCAUUCGACGUAGAAUUACUUUUUACAUAUAUUAUGACUUAAUUUUACAACAAUUAACAAAAUUAACGGGAGAUUGGAAGCAAAAAAGGAGAAAAAAAGGGGAAACUUCUAAAAUAUAGGAAAAAAAUGUCUUCUAAAAUUAGAGGAUGCAACCACCUCUAAAUGAAAGAAGAACUUUUCAUCUAACGGAAAAGACUAAAUUUGCAUUAUUGUUUUCCUUGUUCGCGAGAUAUCUGCGAAAGAAAAAGACACCCAGAUUGACUUUGAGUUGAUUGUUUGUUGACUAGCAGACGACGGUAAUUUGCAACAGCCAGUCAGCCAGUCUGCUUGUGGGCUGUGGCAUGGCCUACUGUGGGUACUUAAAUUUGAUCGUUUGAAUGUUUGUGAUUGAUUUCAUCUUGUGAAGCAAUGUGUUUAUGUUUCAAAUUUUAACUAUUGCAGGAUUAUAAUAAGGAAAGAAAAACAUGCCUCUUGUGUCACAACUGACUGUUCCUUUACCUAUCAAAUCUGUACCAAAUUUGGCAGAUAGGUCACAUGUAUAGGUGCUGAAUCAACUGGAAAACGUAAAAAAAAUGGAAUUUAAAAUUACAUUUAUCAUCAGACAUACCUCCAUUUCAGUUUUUAUUUGUCGGAAAGAUGACAAGUUGGAAAUUGAUCUACAUGUCACCCUAAAUGAUAUCAUAGCAUACAAUACUUUUUUCGGGAUGCAAAACGAAUUUCCCUCAUUUAAAAGGCAUGUAUGAUUUCAGGGUUGAAAUUUUGUAACGAAGAAAAAUGUAAGCUGCAGCUGUGUAAAAUGGAAUUGACAGAUUACAUUCAUCAUCAGACAUCUUUCAGUUUCAGAAAGCUAUGCAUUGAAGAUGACAAGUUGACAAUUGAUUUACAUGGUACCCUAAGUGAUAUCCUAGAAUACCAUAUUUAUUUGGCCUUCAAAACAAGCUUUCCCCUCAGGCCUCAAUUAUAGCGAAGUACUGAUGGACCAUGACAGUAUAUACUUUGACUGCCAAGACUCCUAAUCAAGAAUCCAUGGCUAUAGAGAAUUUCGCUGCCCACGCUAUUCUCCAGCUACUCGUCGUGAUUGCCAACAAUUAGGGUUAGGAUUCAGCCCAACUUGUGUCGUCAUAGCUUCGAGCUGAACAUUAAGAAGGAAAAGCCACCUUUGGUCUAAUUCAUCGAUGUUGUAUGUAGAAUUCAAUAAUAUGUUCAUUGUUUUUAAAUAGAUAUGAACCCUGGCAAAAUCAAUUAGAUGCAGCAGUUGGGAGUCACAAAAUCCUUUUUUGUCAAGCGUCAUGUGCUAGUUUAAUAGGUUUACCAAUACAAGAUUUUUGAAACGGG
Molecule: long non-coding RNA, 1534 nt
Organism: Daphnia pulicaria
Lineage: Eukaryota; Metazoa; Arthropoda; Branchiopoda; Diplostraca; Daphniidae
Exons: 4
Source: RefSeq, a predicted model, not a curated record